GACGAACGCUGGCGGCGUGCUUAACACAUGCAAGUCGAACGCUGAAGCUCAGCUUUUGUUGGGUGGAUGAGUGGCGAACGGGUGAGUAACACGUGAGUAACCUGCCUCCUUCUUUGGGAUAACGCCCGGAAACGGGUGCUAAUACUGGAUAUUCUCUGGUCUUCGCGUGGGGGCUGGUGGACAGGGGUUUUCUGGUGGGGGAUGGGCUCGCGGCCUAUCGGCGUGUUGGGGGGGUGAUGGCCUACCCAGGCUUUGACGGGUAGCCGGGCUGAGAGGGUGACCGGGAACAUUGGGACGGAGAUGCGGCCCAGAGUCGGACGGGGGGGAGAAGUGGGGAAUAUUGCAGAAAGGGCGAAAGCCUGAUGCAGCGACGCCGAGGGAGGGAUGGAGGCUGUCGGGUUGUGAAGCUGUUUCGCAAAUGGUCCGGCCGCAACAAUGGUUGUGGUGAGGGUAGUGGGUAAAGAAGCGCCGGCUAACUACGUG
Molecule: ribosomal RNA, 483 nt
Filed under: uncultured bacterium
Lineage: Bacteria
Description: partial 16S ribosomal RNA
Rfam family: Bacterial small subunit ribosomal RNA
Source: RNAcentral